AAUUCACUCACAUUUAAUGCGCCAGUUAUUCUGGAGGGUGCAGACGGAUUUCUUCAACACAAGACCAUUGGAAUUGGUCCUAAUCAUCUCUAUUUAAAAGAGCCAUGUCCUUCAGAACUGAUCAUCGUAUAAUCUUGCUAUUGCUGUGAACAAUGAUCUCCUGGUUCUGCUCAUUUCACUUAGCAUCAAUUCAUAAGCUGUGUUUAAAAUGAAAACUGAGCCAUGCCCAAUGAGUUGCAGAAAAAGGAACUUGGAGACAGCAAUACAUGUGUAUGGGGGAAAAGGAUUAAUGAAUUUCUUCCUCACCAGAUUCCAAAGAAACAUUGAUGGCUGAGAUUUUAUAUGGAGAUUGUACAGUUUGUACCAAAGAGGAUUUCUUCUACUGAACCAAAGGCUAAUAUGCUGAAAAUAGCCUCAAGUUGUUUUUGGAUAUUUUGAUUGGUAGUGGAAAAAAAUAUUCCUGGAGCCUUUUCUGUCCUUUAACUAUUGUGCAAAAACCUUUCUUACAGUUUGUUGAGAAGCUGUAAUAGAGUGACUAUUGUUUUUAAUGCUUCAUUGAUGCUUUGAGUUUUUAUGUCACAAUGUUUUCAGGAUACAUAUUUUCUUUUCACAUUACAAAAACGAUCCUAUAUUGUUUAAUUCAGGGUUCAAAUCUAAACAGUUGUACAAAACUUUCCUCAUUAGUGGGGAGAAUGAUGCCUGACUGUUCUAUACUUUCAUAAGAGGUGGAGUUAAUGAGAGCCAAGAAUGAGGGAGAAUGUUCUCUCCUGAAACCAGAUACCCAAAAAACAAUUCUCAUCUUUUAAGUUCUCUCCAGUUCUACCUUUUAGGUAGAUUCAAAGUGAUGAGUAAUAAUUCUCUUUAGCAAUGAAGAGAGUUCUCUUUAGCAAUGAAGAUAAAUUUUUACAAAAAAUUUAGGUUCAAAUCCUAGAUUACCUUUGUAACAAAGAAAAUCAGUGAAGCAAACUGACAAUAAUGGCAUGCAAGAGUAUAGUGUAAUUGUAUUACUAAUCCCCUAUCUUUCUAUUGCAAGGAAGGAGAUGAUUACACACGUUUUCUCCAGGGUUCACCUUUAUUCUAG
RNAcentral lists this long non-coding RNA (1081 nucleotides) under Sarcophilus harrisii (Tasmanian devil). RNAcentral describes it as "lncRNA (ENSSHAG00000020491.1)". The record is from RNAcentral. Lineage: Eukaryota; Metazoa; Chordata; Mammalia; Dasyuromorphia; Dasyuridae.